UUCCACCUUCAAUCUAUUUAACUUUUUGUGUUCUGCUAACAAUUAUAUUUUCUAUGAUCAAUAAUCAAAUAUUCUCUAACAGUGGAAGCUGGUACUCAGCAAGGAAGUGUUCAGACAGACAAUAAUCCUCAGAAUCUCACCUGGAAGUUGUACAAGAUUGAUUGCCUUAGGACUCAACGGGCCCCUGGAGAACCAUGAUCUUUGGUUGAAUGCAAAUCUUUGGUUGGAUGAUGUUUCAUUCUAACAUACAAAGAACAUUAAGGAGUUAGUCACAGGAAAGUGACACAUUCAAUUUAAUCUUAUGCAACUGUGUGAAAAUCAGAUGAGAUUUAUCCGUUGGAGAUCAAUAAGGGGAUCAGAGUUAAGAGAUUGAAGUUAAGAAAUGAGACUGUUAAGUCUUUAUCCACAGUGGCAAGGACAAGCAGAUACAAAGAAAAUCCUUCUCUAUUCCUAGUCCUUCAUAUAGACUGCCUGGUCAAAGAUAUGUAGUUCUACCUAAAAUGAUCCAACCAACAAAACCACCCUCACAGGUAUAACAAGUUCUUUGGAUUUUUAAUUAAUUCCAAAUGUUGUGAAGUUGACAACCAAGAAUAGCCAUCACAAUUACACCCCUUGUCACAACAUAAUAUCUCCAUAUCAUUCUUUAUUUCCAAACAAAAACAAUAGCUAGGUCAUUAUCAUAGUAACAAAGUAUAACUAUCCCAAAUACAACUGAAAUAUAUAUAUUUAAUUUGGUCAUAAUUUAUCCUAACAUGAUAUAGCUAUCACAUGUAUAAUAACAAACAUUAUAUAAUUUAUUAUAGGUGACAAUGUCACAUAUGGAGCAUUGUUUUAGUAUAUCAAAACUUACCUGUAAAAAGCCUGAUAUUUUCUCAAUGUAUAUCCUUUAUAUGAUAAAGAAAUCAAGGAAAUCAAAACAAAUAUCUGCACAAACACAUUCUUAAGAAAACUCAUGUAAAUUAUGAUCCUCAUUUCUACAACUGGUAACAUGACCUUAGCUUGUUUUUAUAACACCCUUCCUAUAUACUACUGAUUCUGCUGUAUUUUAUGAACUCUCAGAAAGUACCUCAGUUUGUGUUCAUCAUUUUUCCAAAGAGUGGCCCCAACGUUUAUUACUAAAGAGUUUUUGCCACUUUUUCUCCUUCCUGAAUCAUUGUAGUUCCCUAUCUACUUAUUUAUAAAACAUGGUAAUACCAAGAGACAACCUGAAAGAUAUCCUGCUCUUCAGAUAUAAUCUUUCUUCCAUCCACUGUGGAAAAAUAAUCUGAUCUUCUCGCAAAAUUUCCAUUGGUUUUCUUUCUUAGCCUGUUGGGUUAAGCACAUUAGAAUUCCCAGGUUAACAGAGGAAAGUUUGAGCUUCCAGUUUGAUAGAAUGUAUUUUCUGUCUGCUGACACAAAUGUUCUUUCUUUUCUUUUCCCUUUUCGAA
Mus caroli (Ryukyu mouse) is the source of this 1427-nucleotide long non-coding RNA. RefSeq lists it as uncharacterized. Lineage: Eukaryota; Metazoa; Chordata; Mammalia; Rodentia; Muridae. The record is from RefSeq and is a predicted model, not a curated record.